AGCAGCCGCGGUAAUUCCAGCUCCAAUAGCGUAUAUUAAAGUUGUUGCAGUUAAAAAGCUCGUAGUUAAAUUUCGGGAUCAGUUGAUCGGUCGUGCCUCGGUACGUACUGGUCAAAUUGAUUCCUACCUUCUGACGAACCACGAUGUCAUUAAUUUGGUGUCGCGGGAAAUCAGGACUGUUACUUUGAAAAAAUUAGAGUGUUUAAAGCAGGCUCGCGCUUGAAUACAUUAGCAUGGAAUAAUGAAAUAGGACGUUUGAUUCUAUUUUGUUGGUUUCUAGGAUCGACGUAAUGAUUAAUAGGGAUAGUUGGGGGCAUUAGUAUUCAAUUGUCAGAGGUGAAAUUCUUGGAUUUAUUGAAGACUAACUACUGCGAAAGCAUUUUGCCAAGGAUGUUUUCAUUAAUCAAGAACGAAAGUUAGGGGAUCGAAGACGAUCAGAUACCGUCGUAGUCUUAACCAUAAACUAUGCCGACUAGGGAUCGGAUGAUGUUAAUUUUUUUCAAUGACUCAUUCGGCGCCU
Molecule: unclassified non-coding RNA, 520 nt
Filed under: uncultured Glomus
Lineage: Eukaryota; Fungi; Glomeromycota; Glomeromycetes; Glomerales; Glomeraceae
Description: SSU rRNA
Rfam family: Eukaryotic small subunit ribosomal RNA
Source: RNAcentral